This is a non-coding RNA of Chiloscyllium plagiosum (whitespotted bambooshark), 1742 nucleotides long. Lineage: Eukaryota; Metazoa; Chordata; Chondrichthyes; Orectolobiformes; Hemiscylliidae. The record is from RefSeq and is a predicted model, not a curated record.
GUGAUCUUUCCUCCGGCAUUUGUAGUGGUUUGAAUCUGCCGCUUCCGGUUGUCAGUUCCAGCUGUCCGUUGCAGCGUAAGGCAACGGGGGCGAGAACGAUACCGUGAUUGGGGGUGGAUUUCGAGGCCUUCGUUCCUGACAGUUGUUCUUCUCCGGAGCCGGGCCUCGCAGCGCCGGGAUCUCCUGAUGUUACCGCAUCCUAAAGAAGACGAGCAUCGGCCACGCUAAGAAUCGGGCCAGCUGUGGUGGCCCAUUUGCUGGGUGAGUCUUCUGUCUCGCGGGGUGGGAGCCGGGCGCACGUGAGGUCGAGGGACGUUAAGGUCCUCCGGCGCGCGAUACGUCCGCCCUCUGUCUGUCGCGCGUGUCCCUGGUUUCACCCCUAGCCAAGGGGGACUGCUGCCAUCUUGAACGUCUUUGGCGGCCCGAACCGCGACCUCCCGCGAGGAGGGAAGGGACUUCCAGGGUUUCUGACCCCGAAGGAAUGGCAGAUCACACAGCUGUAAAGGCAAAAACUCUGAGAACAGAUGAAAAAAAAACCUCAGGAGACUUCAAUUACAGACACAUAUAGAGGAACAGAGCGCAGACAUGCAGUCAUUCUGGUUGACAAUAAUGAGUGAAACAAAGAUCUAUAAAGUCAGAAAGUUGCUGUGGACACAAUUGCAAUGCAUAACUAAAAUUUAAAAAGAGAAUUACAUCAGCAGUACCACAAGAGCCGGGCCUCACAGCGCCGGGACCUCCUGAUGUUACCGCAUCCUAAAGAAGACGAGCAUCGGCCACGCUAAGAAUCGGGCCAGCUGUGGUGGCCCAUUUGCUGGGUACAAUUUGGUUCUUAGCCCGGUCCCCCAAUCAUGACCUUUGACCAGGGCACCAGUAAUACAAACCCUGCUCGCAGCGCCAAUUGUUGUGGGGAAAAUCACCAACCUCGGAGUCAGAGUUGGGUUCAAUGAUAGAGUUUAUUGCACAAGAAAAUACCGGAGCUCCAGGAAGAGAAAGACACCAACAGCACAGACGUCAGCUGCGAGUCUUCUCUCGACCCGGAGCACAUGUCGAGAAAUUUUAAUACAUCUUGUGAUACAAUAGGUCAGUGAUGGGAAUACUGUCUUUGUACAUGGUUUGUUUAUAGUAAUCGUUACAGAUUCAUUGAUAGUUUUGAUACAGUCUUUGUCAGUCCUAGCGCAGCCUUUGUUAAUUUCUGUGUGGUCAUUGCCAGUUUCAGUGUAAACAAUGUCAGUUUCAACGCCUGCACAGAAAUCCAUUGCUGUUGUAAUGGGUGCUAAUCGCUCUUCCUGAGAAGGACGAUUACUGCAGCCUUGGUCAUUAAAAUUUCGUAUUGAGCCUGUAUCAAGUUGUUAGCAUUUCUAUAAGUGGUGGUGGCUGGACCCAGACACUUCGACAGGCAAUGUUCGUUACUCAUGUGUAUUCUCUCCCCCACUGCCUUAAUCUAAUCAAUUGCAUUGUGCUGACAUUCUGGUGGCCUCAGGCAGUGUCUGUAUUUGCUCUGCUGUUUCUCUCCAUGUUGUGAUCCGGCGGCCAUCUUAUGUGUCAAGUUGGCCAACUGAUGGCUCAGCGGCCGUCUUGUGUGUCCAUAUGCCAGUGUCACCCUGCCCCGUGCCACCUCCCUCUUCAGUUGUAAGCUCCUUACCAGAAUAAAUUCUUCUACACUGAACAGCAUUUGAUCACAAUCACUCAUGAAAGCAGUGCUGUUAGUGUGUCCUUGUUCAGAUCAGCACAAAGCCAUGUUG